AUUGAACGCUGGCGGCAUGCCUUACACAUGCAAGUCGAACGGCAGCACGGGAGUAUCCUGGUGGCGAGUGGCGAACGGGUGAGUAAAGCAUCGGAACGUGCCCAGUCGUGGGGGAUAACGUAGCGAAAGCUACGCUAAUACCGCAUACGAUCUGUGGAUGAAAGCGGGGGACCGUAAGGCCUCGCGCGAUUGGAGCGGCCGAUGUCAGAUUAGGUAGUUGGUGAGGUAAAGGCUCACCAAGCCGACGAUCUGUAGCUGGUCUGAGAGGACGACCAGCCACACUGGGACUGAGACACGGCCCAGACUCCUACGGGAGGCAGCAGUGGGGAAUUUUGGACAAUGGGCGCAAGCCUGAUCCAGCAAUGCCGCGUGCAGGAUGAAGGCCUUCGGGUUGUAAACUGCUUUUGUACGGAGCGAAAAGGCUUCCACUAAUACUGGGGGCUCAUGACGGUACCGUAAGAAUAAGCACCGGCUAACUACGUG
Molecule: ribosomal RNA, 483 nt
Filed under: uncultured bacterium
Lineage: Bacteria
Description: partial 16S ribosomal RNA
Rfam family: Bacterial small subunit ribosomal RNA
Source: RNAcentral